RNAcentral lists this non-coding RNA (30 nucleotides) under Rattus norvegicus (Norway rat). The record is from RNAcentral. Lineage: Eukaryota; Metazoa; Chordata; Mammalia; Rodentia; Muridae.
UCCUAUGAAAGAUAAGCCAUCAGCUCCUUA